UAAAGGUACCCGUACCGCAAACCGACACAGGUGGGUGAGGAGAGUAUCCUAAGGCCAGCGAGAGAACUGUUGUUAAGGAACUCGGCAAAAUGACCCCGUAACUUAGGGAUAAGGGGUGCCACCAUCAGGUGGCCGCAGAGAAUAGGCCCAAGCGACUGUUUACCAAAAACAUAGGUUUCUGCUAAGUCGCAAGACGAUGUAUAGGAGCGGACGCCUGCCCGGUGCUGGAAGGUUAAGGGGAUCUGUUAGAGCAAUCGAAGCAGUGAACUUAAGCCCCAGUAAACGGCGGCCGUAACUAUAACGGUCCUAAGGUAGCGAAAUUCCUUGUCGGGUAAGUUCCGACCCGCACGAAAGGCGUAACGAUUUGGGCACUGUCUCA
RNAcentral lists this ribosomal RNA (379 nucleotides) under Clostridioides difficile. Its description in RNAcentral is "bacterial LSU rRNA". It matches the Rfam family "Bacterial large subunit ribosomal RNA", at positions 1633 to 2023 of the family's 2925-position model. The record is from RNAcentral. Lineage: Bacteria; Bacillati; Bacillota; Clostridia; Peptostreptococcales; Peptostreptococcaceae.